Xylariaceae sp. FL0594 is the source of this 93-nucleotide non-coding RNA. NCBI's taxonomy places the organism in Eukaryota, Fungi, Ascomycota, Sordariomycetes, Xylariales, Xylariaceae. The record is from the annotation of a GenBank genome assembly.
UCUCGAUUGGUCUAGUGGUAAGGAUACCUGCUUGUCAUCCCCAUCACCCGGGCAAAUACGCAGGUGGCCGGGGUUCGAUUCCCCGAUCGAGAG